GACGAACGCUGGCGGCGUGCUUAACACAUGCCAGUCGAACGGGUCUGCCCUGUUUUUUGCGGGGUGGGUCAGUGGCGAACGGGUGAGUAACACGUGAGUAACCUGCCCCUCACUUCUGGAUAACCGCUUGAAAGGGUGGCUAAUACGGGGUGUUCUGGCUGUGCCGCAUGGUGUGGCUGGGAAAGAUUCACUUUUGUGGUGUUUUGGUGGGGGAUGGGCUCGCGGCCUAUCAGCUUGUUGGUGGGGUUAUGGCCUGCCAAGGCUUUGACGGGUAGCCGGCCUGAGAGGGUGGGCGGUCACGCUGGGACUGAGGUACGGCCCAGACUCCUGCGGGAGGCAGCAGUGGGGGGUAUUGCACAAUGGGCGGAAGCCUGAUGCAGCGACGUCGCGUGAGGGAUGGAGGCCUUCGGGUUGUGAACCUCUUUCGCCGGUGAAGAAGGUCCUGCUCUUUGUGGUGGGGUUGACGGUAGCCGGGUUAUGAAGCGCCGGCUAACUACGUG
Molecule: ribosomal RNA, 500 nt
Filed under: uncultured bacterium
Lineage: Bacteria
Description: partial 16S ribosomal RNA
Rfam family: Bacterial small subunit ribosomal RNA
Source: RNAcentral